CGGGACGGGUGAGUAACGCGUGGGUAACCUGCCUCGCACAGGGGGAUAGCAGUUGGAAACGACUGAUAAUACCGCAUAAGCGCACAGUACCGCAUGGUACAGUGUGAAAAACUCCGGUGGUGUGAGAUGGACCCGCGUCUGAUUAGCUUGUUGGCGGGGUAACGGCCCACCAAGGCAACGAUCAGUAGCCGACCUGAGAGGGUGACCGGCCACAUUGGGACUGAGACACGGCCCAG
Molecule: ribosomal RNA, 236 nt
Filed under: uncultured bacterium
Lineage: Bacteria
Description: partial 16S ribosomal RNA
Rfam family: Bacterial small subunit ribosomal RNA
Source: RNAcentral